This 21-nucleotide microRNA is filed under the name Bactrocera dorsalis (oriental fruit fly). RNAcentral's name for it is "bdo-miR-306". Its record names the gene bdo-miR-306. The record is from miRBase by way of RNAcentral. Lineage: Eukaryota; Metazoa; Arthropoda; Insecta; Diptera; Tephritidae.
CCAGGUACUUAGUGACUCUCA